GCGCCCCGAGCGCGUCUUGUGGAGCCUGCCGCGUGAGCUGAUGAGGUUCUUCGGAUCUGUAAAGCUCUGUUGUCAGGGAAGAACAAUUACGGGAGUAACUGCCCGUGCCUUGACGGUACCUUAUUAGAAAGCCACGGCUUACUACGUGCCAGCAGCCGCGGUAAUA
RNAcentral lists this ribosomal RNA (166 nucleotides) under uncultured bacterium. Its description in RNAcentral is "partial 16S ribosomal RNA". The stretch from base 33 to 166 matches the Rfam family "Bacterial small subunit ribosomal RNA", at positions 401 to 525 of the family's 1533-position model. The record is from RNAcentral.